Molecule: long non-coding RNA, 1736 nt
Organism: Oxyura jamaicensis (ruddy duck)
Lineage: Eukaryota; Metazoa; Chordata; Aves; Anseriformes; Anatidae
Exons: 3
Source: RefSeq, a predicted model, not a curated record
CAGAAAGCACAAAGCUGCCUGCCUGUAUUGGCAUUUUCUUUAAACUGAGCUGAUUGAGGUAAACAGUGGGCUCUCUGCUAAGUUCCCUCUGCCAGACUGGAAAGACACAAAAAGAAAUGCGUCUCCUACUAGGUGUCAGGACGCUUAGUGUGCCCUGUGCUUGCUGGUGGGUUCUGCCUCCUGCUCUUGCCUACUCCUGACAAACUGUGUGGCUGCAGCACAUCCAUCAAGUACCUCGGGUUAAAGGAGAUGGGAAAAGCUGGUGUAUUGCAUGACCUUACUCUGUCACAUAGAAGUUGAGUGUUCCUGUUUGAGUUAGUGAGAAUGAUUUUAAAUUAAUAUUUUUCUAUUGCUAAACCAAAGAAAAAAAAAGUUUGAAGCCUGUUUUGUUAAAUAGACUGAAACCGAGUUGCUUCAAAGGGACUGCAAGGGAAGAAGCCGGCAUGGCAUUUACAGUAUAUGAAUAUGGGGGGCCUCAGACAGCUCUCCUGCUGUUCGUUGCAUGAUCACUCACCUGAUGAAUAACAGUCAUACAGCAUUUGGCCAUGAAGUACGUAAAUAAAAAACAGACCCAAGCGUCUUCUGCGGGUUUAAAAGCAGAACAGGGCCAGAAGUAAGGCAAAAAGGUGCUCAUCAACAGACAGCUUGCCCUGGUGACCUGCAAGAUUGUAGAAACUUUGAUGGAAGUCUCCACCGUCCCCUUGAGCUGUGCUGGAAAUGAUGUGACAGUAGAAGGAACUACACCAGGUUACUGAAGACUGCUGUGAACCAAGAACACCACUGUCAGAGCUCCACCUCUGUGUCAAGACAGCUGACCACAAGUGGGUGGAGAUGAUGAAAGAAGAGCUUCUACUGUGUUGUCCUCCUGGUGAGGCUGCCUUUGUGAGAUGGAUUGUGCAUUCUGAAUGAUUUCAAUGGCUUCCGUGUGAUUCAUCUGUCUCAAAGCAGCACUCAGCUCUUCAAUUGUACCACCAGAAACCUAAGAGAGAUGAUGACAGCAAACGCUCAGCACCACCCAGGCCAGCUAAAACCAAAGGGCCACACUGUUGCACCAUGCAGGAAGAUGACACUCAGCACACAGCAGUAUGUUCCUUAUAAGCUGUAACAGCCACAUUACCUCAUAGUUAUCUAGCAGAGUCCUUGAUGGGGAAGGGCACAACCUGAAGGCGUUACAAAGUAUGCCAAGACCCAGCUUUUGUGCUAGAGUAAACCAGUUUUUGCUUGGGUCACAUAUUUCCAAUACUUUGCAAAGCUGCAUCUUGACGCUUUCAUUCAGCUCUCUUAUAUGUCCUGGGGAACAGAGAAAUACGUUUAUUAUUUAUACGAAUCAUGCACCAGUUCAUUUCUAAGCAGAAACAAAGGCAAAUUAAAGAGUAUCUGUUUUAGUGUCCGUUGGUGUUUAUUAAGAUAUUGGUGUAAUCUUGAAAAUUUACUACCUUGUGUCCUUGUGACCUACCUCUUUUCAGAAUCGUGCUCCUUCUAAGGAUGUGUGUGUGGGGAAGGGUAUCCCUCUUCUCCCUCCCCAGCUCACUUAGAAGGAAGGGUGGGGUUAUUUCUUCUGCAAAUAUGCUUUCACUACUCAGCUGUUAAUUACGUGAGGGAUAUUGUUAAGUUAUCUUUACAGAUGAUACCUUGUGUCAGUAAGUCCUUUGAAACUGCUGCUUCUGGUUUGUAAGGCUUGUCAUUUAAUAUGUCGUACACCUAAGAGAAUACAUUAAAGUCAGUAUUUAGCAAAA